UACACAUGCAAGUCGAACGGCAGCAUGAUCUAGCUUGCUAGAUUGAUGGCGAGUGGCGAACGGGUGAGUAAUACAUCGGAACGUGCCCUGUAGUGGGGGAUAACUAGUCGAAAGAUUAGCUAAUACCGCAUACGACCUGAGGGUGAAAGUGGGGGACCGCAAGGCCUCAUGCUAUAGGAGCGGCCGAUGUCUGAUUAGCUAGUUGGUGAGGUAAAGGCUCACCAAGGCGACGAUCAGUAGCUGGUCUGAGAGGACGAUCAGCCACACUGGGACUGAGACACGGCCCAGACUCCUACGGGAGGCAGCAGUGGGGAAUGUUGGAACAACUCGGGCGAAAGCCUGAUCCAGCAAUUGCCGCGUGAUCUGAAGAAGACCUUCGGGUUGUAAAGCACUUUUGUCCGGAAAGAAAUGACUCUGCUUAAUACCUGGCGGUCGAUGACGGUACCGGAAGAAUAACUGACCGGCUAACUACGUGCCAGCAGCCGCGGUAAUACGUAGGGUCCAAGCGUUAAUCGGAAUUACUGGGCGUAAAGCGUGCGCAGGCGGUUGUGCAAGACCGAUGUGAAAUCCCCGAGCUUAACUUGGGAAUUGCAUUUGGUGACUGCACGGCUAGAGUGUGUCAGAGGGGGGUAGAAUUCCACGUGUAGCAGUGAAAUGCGUAGAGAUGUGGAGGAAUACCGAUGGCGAAGGCAGCCCCCUGGGAUAACACUGACGCUCAUGCACGAAAGCGUGGGGAGCAAACAGGAUUAGAUACCCUGGUAGUCCACGCCCUAAACGAUGUCAACUAGUUGUUGGGGAUUCAUUUCCUUAGUAACGUAGCUAACGCGUGAAGUUGACCGCCUGGGGGAGUACGGUCGCAAGAUUAAAACUCAAAGGAAAUUGACGGGGACCCGCACAAGCGGGUGGAUGAUGUGGGAUUAAUUCGAUGCAACGCGAAAAAACCUUUACCUACCCUUGACAUGCCACUAACGAAGCAGAGAUGCAUUAGGUGCUCGGAAAAGAAGAAAGUGCACACAGCUGUCUGCCAUGGCCUGUCGUUCAGCUCGUGUCCGUGGAGAUGUUGCGUUACAGUCCCGCAACGAGCGCAACCCUUGUCUCUAGUUGCUACGAAAGGGCACUCUAGAGAGACUGCCGGUGACAAACCGGAGGAAGGUGGGGAUGACGUCAAGUCCUCAUGGCCCUUAUGGGUAGGGCUUCACACGUCAUACAAUGGUGCAUACAGAGGGUUGCCAAGCCGCGAGGUGGAGCUAAUCCCAGAAAAUGCAUCGUAGUCCGGAUCGUAGUCUGCAACUCGACUACGUGAAGCUGGAAUCGCUAGUAAUCGCGGAUCAGCAUGCCGCGGUGAAUACGUUCCCGGGUCUUGUACACACCGCCCGUCACACCAUGGGAGUGGGCUUUACCAGAAGUAGUUAGCCUAACCGCAAGGAGGGCGAUUACCACGGUAGGGUUCAUGACUGUGGUGAAGUCG
RNAcentral lists this ribosomal RNA (1468 nucleotides) under Ralstonia pickettii. RNAcentral's name for it is "bacterial SSU rRNA". It matches the Rfam family "Bacterial small subunit ribosomal RNA". The record is from RNAcentral. Lineage: Bacteria; Pseudomonadati; Pseudomonadota; Betaproteobacteria; Burkholderiales; Burkholderiaceae.